This 431-nucleotide ribosomal RNA is filed under the name uncultured bacterium. RNAcentral's name for it is "partial 16S ribosomal RNA". It matches the Rfam family "Bacterial small subunit ribosomal RNA", at positions 338 to 795 of the family's 1533-position model. The record is from RNAcentral.
CCUACGGGAGGCUGCAGUGGGGAAUAUUGCACAAUGGGCGAAAGCCUGAUGCAGCAACGCCGCGUGAGGGAUGACGGCCUUCGGGUUGAAACCUCUUUUAGUAAGGAAGCGGUACUUGCAGAAAAAGCACCGGCUAACUACGUGCCAGCAGCCGCGGUAAUACGUAGGGUGCAAGCGUUGUCCGGAAUUAUUGGGCGUAAAGAGCUCGUAGGCGGUUUGUCGCGUCUGCUGUGAAAUCCUGAGGCUCAACCUCGGGCUUGCAGUGGGUACGGGCAGACUAGAGUGCGGUAGGGGAGAUUGGAAUUCCUGGUGUAGCGGUGGAAUGCGCAGAUAUCAGGAGGAACACCGAUGGCGAAGGCAGAUCUCUGGGCCGUACUGACGCUGAGGAGCGAAAGCAUGGGGAGCGAACAGGAUUAGAUACCCUUGUAGUC